UUGGUGCUUGCAUCAUGAUUUACAUUUGAGUGAGUGGCGAACUGGUGAGUAACACGUGGGAAACCUGCCCAGAAGCGGGGGAUAACACCUGGAAACAGAUGCUAAUACCGCAUAACAACUUGGACCGCAUGGUCCGAGCUUGAAAGAUGGCUUCGGCUAUCACUUUUGGAUGGUCCCGCGGCGUAUUAGCUAGAUGGUGGGGUAACGGCUCACCAUGGCAAUGAUACGUAGCCGACCUGAGAGGGUAAUCGGCCACAUUGGGACUGAGACACGGCCCAAACUCCUACGGGAGGCAGCAGUAGGGAAUCUUCCACAAUGGACGAAAGUCUGAUGGAGCAACGCCGCGUGAGUGAAGAAGGGUUUCGGCUCGUAAAACUCUGUUGUUAAAGAAGAACAUAUCUGAGAGUAACUGUUCAGGUAUUGACGGUAUUUAACCAGAAAGCCACGGCUAACUACGUGCCAGCAGCCGCGGUAAUACGUAGGUGGCAAGCGUUGUCCGGAUUUAUUGGGCGUAAAGCGAGCGCAGGCGGUUUUUUAAAUCUGAUGUGAAACCCUUCGGGUCAACCGAAGAAGUGCAUCGGAAACUGGGAAACUUGAGUGCAGAAGAGGACAGUGGAACUCCAUGUGUAGCGGUGAAAUGCGUAGAUAUAUGGAAGAACACCAGUGGCGAAGGCGGCUGUCUGGUCUGUAACUGACGCUGAGGCUCGAAAGUAUGGGUAGCAAACAGGAUUAGAUACCCUGGUAGUCCAUACCGUAAACGAUGAAUGCUAAGUGUUGGAGGGUUUCCGCCCUUCAGUGCUGCAGCUAACGCAUUAAGCAUUCCGCCUGGGGAGUACGGCCGCAAGGCUGAAACUCAAAGGAAUUGACGGGGGCCCGCACAAGCGGUGGAGCAUGUGGUUUAAUUCGAAGCUACGCGAAGAACCUUACCAGGUCUUGACAUACUAUGCAAAUCUAAGAGAUUAGACGUUCCCUUCGGGGACAUGGAUACAGGUGGUGCAUGGUUGUCGUCAGCUCGUGUCGUGAGAUGUUGGGUUAAGUCCCGCAACGAGCGCAACCCUUAUUAUCAGUUGCCAGCAUUAAGUUGGGCACUCUGGUGAGACUGCCGGUGACAAACCGGAGGAAGGUGGGGAUGACGUCAAAUCAUCAUGCCCCUUAUGACCUGGGCUACACACGUGCUACAAUGGAUGGUACAACGAGUUGCGAACUCGCGAGAGUAAGCUAAUCUCUUAAAGCCAUUCUCAGUUCGGAUUGUAGGCUGCAACUCGCCUACAUGAAGUCGGAAUCGCUAGUAAUCGCGGAUCAGCAUGCCGCGGUGAAUACGUUCCCGGGCCUUGUACACACCGCCCGUCACACCAUGAGAGUUUG
Molecule: ribosomal RNA, 1365 nt
Filed under: Lactiplantibacillus plantarum subsp. plantarum
Lineage: Bacteria; Bacillati; Bacillota; Bacilli; Lactobacillales; Lactobacillaceae
Description: bacterial SSU rRNA
Rfam family: Bacterial small subunit ribosomal RNA
Source: RNAcentral